AUCACUUCUCGGCCUUUUGGCUAAGGUCAAGUGUAGCAUAUGUCCUUAGAGUCCUCUUGGCUGUGAGUUUUUCCAUUUUUUGGAAAAAACAGAAAAUUUGCAAAAAUUCAAAAGUCUUGCAAAUUUUCUGGUUUUAAAAUGAUGGAGCAAAUUUAGCAGGUUUUUUUUAACCUUCUUGAAAAAUAUUC
Small nuclear RNA from Echinops telfairi (small Madagascar hedgehog), 188 nucleotides. RefSeq annotates it as U2 spliceosomal RNA. The transcript has a single exon. The record is from RefSeq and is a predicted model, not a curated record. Lineage: Eukaryota; Metazoa; Chordata; Mammalia; Afrosoricida; Tenrecidae.